Molecule: ribosomal RNA, 253 nt
Filed under: uncultured bacterium
Lineage: Bacteria
Description: partial 16S ribosomal RNA
Rfam family: Bacterial small subunit ribosomal RNA
Source: RNAcentral
UACGGAGGGUGCAAGCGUUAUCCGGAUUCACUGGGUUUAAAGGGUGCGUAGGUGGGCAGUUAAGUCAGUGGUGAAAUCUCCGGGCUCAACCCGGAAACUGCCAUUGAUACUAUCUGUCUUGAAUAUCGUGGAGGUAAGCGGAAUAUGUCAUGUAGCGGUGAAAUGCUUAGAUAUGACAUAGAACACCGAUAGCGAAGGCAGCUUACUAGACUGUAACUGACGCUGAUGCACGAAAGUGUGGGGAUCAAACAGG